Molecule: ribosomal RNA, 492 nt
Filed under: uncultured bacterium
Lineage: Bacteria
Description: partial 16S ribosomal RNA
Rfam family: Bacterial small subunit ribosomal RNA
Source: RNAcentral
AGUGAACGCUGGCGGUAGGCCUAACACAUGCAAGUCGAACGGCAGCACAGUAAGAGCUUGCUCUUACGGGUGGCGAGUGGCGGACGGGUGAGGAAUACAUCGGAAUCUACUUUUUCGUGGGGGAUAACGUAGGGAAACUUACGCUAAUACCGCAUACGACCUACGGGUGAAGGCAGUGGAUCUUCGGACCUUGCGCGAUUGAAUGAGCCGAUGUCGGAUUAGCUAGUUGGCGGGGUAAAGGCCCACCAAGGCGACGAUCCGUAGCUGGUCUGAGAGGAUGAUCAGCCACACUGGAACUGAGACACGGUCCAGACUCCUACGGGAGGCAGCAGUGGGGAAUAGUGGACAAUGGGCGCAAGCAUGAUACAGCCAUACCGCGUGGGUGAAGAAGGCCUUCGGGUUGUAAAGCCCUUUUGUUGGGAAAGAAAAGCAGCAGGUUAAGACCCCGCUGUUCUGACGGUACCCAAAGAAUAAGCACCGGCUAACUUCGUG